RNAcentral lists this non-coding RNA (922 nucleotides) under Furcifer oustaleti (Oustalet's chamelion). RNAcentral's name for it is "12S rRNA". It matches the Rfam family "Bacterial small subunit ribosomal RNA". Lineage: Eukaryota; Metazoa; Chordata; Lepidosauria; Squamata; Chamaeleonidae. The record is from RNAcentral.
UGAAAGUUUUGGUCCUGGACUUUCCGUUAUUUAUGACUAAGAUUACACAUGCAAGCAUCCGCACCCCAGUGAGUUCGCCCAAUCACUCCGGAGCAGGCAUCAGGCACAAUCUUACCAGCCCAUAACGCCAAGACACCCACACCCACACGGGCAUGCAGCAGUGACUAACAUUAGGCACUGAGCCAACGCUCGACCAAACUAUUGUCCUUUAAGCCGGCAAACUUCGUGCCAGCCGCCGCGGUUAUACGAAGCUGGCCCCAAAUAACGACUAACGGCAUAAAACGUGGCACACAACUUUCUUCACACUAAGUAUUUACUAGGACCUAUACGUAAAACCAAAGCCUAAUUGAACACCAACACGGAACUUAGCCAAUGAAACCCACAACCCACGAAAACUGAGGAACAAACUAGGAUUAGAUACCCUACUAUGCCCAAUCGUAAACAUCGAUCUUUCUUUUAUCCGCCAGAGAAUAACGAGCUAAAGCUUAAAACUCAAAGGACUUGGCGGCAUUCCACACCACCCUAGAGGAGCCUGUCAUAUAAUCGAUAACCCACGAUAAACCUCACCGCUUUUUGCCCAACCAGCCUAUAUACCGCCGUCGCCAGCCCAUCUUGAAAAAGAAACAUAAUGGGCUUAAUUGUAUCGCCACACCAAUACGACAGGUCAAGGUGUAGCUAAUAAAGCGGCAAAUGAUGGACUACAUUGCUUACACAAGCAAAACCAAAAUUGUACUGAAACAUAUAAUUUAAGGUGAAUUUAACAGUAAGACGAGCAAGAAAGCCCAUCUAAAACAUGCUCUGGAACGUGCACACACCGCCCGUCACCCUACUUUACAACCGCCACAAAAACAUAUUAACCCAUCAAAAACAAGAGUAGGAAAGUCGUAACAAGGUAAGCGUACCGGAAGGUGCGCUUGGAAGA